AGACCGUUGAGCAAACUGCUUUUAGAUCCUGAAACUGAAAUUAGGAUUUUGCUCAAGCCAUUCCUCCAACUUUUGAAUGAGGCAAAUGGAGUGAAAAGUGCAUGGAGCAGGGGGAGGAAGGUGUCCACAACCCUUUCUGAAGAGAGAAGCACUACUCUGUCUUGUCCCUGCAUGACCAUGUCUGCCCAAUGACACCGUGGUGAAACAACUGUGUACUUGCGUACUUCAUUUUGGACCAAGACCUUCUGGAUUUGUACGACUAGACAUCUUUGGAAGACCUCCUUCCUCUUCCUUUGCCAUACCUAGCUAGCCUCUAUCUUCUGGAAAAAGAAAUAAGCAGCAGGAUUGGUCUCAAGAGAAGUAUGUUCUCACUGUUUAGAUGAGUUUGAGUCACACCACUCUUCAAUUUUGGAAAACAUCUUACAUUAGCAUCUUGCCUAGGAAGGUUCUCACCACGGCUGAGCCCAAGAACAUGAGCUUUGGCCCACUGGGUCCAUUCUUUCAUUAAUGUCAGUUCAAUUACAGUCUAGGCCUUGGGUUUCAAAUACCGAAAAAAGUGCACAUAGG
Long non-coding RNA from Neopelma chrysocephalum (saffron-crested tyrant-manakin), 567 nucleotides. RefSeq lists it as uncharacterized. The record is from RefSeq and is a predicted model, not a curated record. Lineage: Eukaryota; Metazoa; Chordata; Aves; Passeriformes; Pipridae. The transcript has 3 exons.